AAAACAUCUUCUCUUGAUUUAAUUUGAGAUAGGGCCUGCCCAAUGAUUUAUUUAAUGGCCGCGGUAUUUUGACCGUGCAAAGGUAGCAUAAUCAUUAGUUCAAUAAUUGUGAACUUGUAUGAAUGGUAUGACGAAACAUUAUCUGUCUCUAUAUAAUAUUUAUAACUUAAAUUUUGAGUUAAAAUGCUUAAAUUAUUUUAUUGGACGAGAAGACCCUAUAGAUCUUUAUUAUAAAAUUUAUGUAUUUUAUUUAGUUUAUUUAUUAUAAAUAAAUUUUAUAAUUUUGUUGGGGUGACAUGGAGAUAACUAUAACUCAUUAUUUUAAAUUACAUUAAUUUAUGAUUAAUUGACCUUAUUUUAUUGUUAUAAGAUUAAGAUACCUUAGGGAUAACAGCGUAAUUUCUUUAGAGAGUUCAUAUUGACAAGGAAGAUUGCGACCUCGAUGUUGGAUUAAGAUAAUUUUUUGGUGCAGUAGCUAAAAUAAUAGGUCUGUUCGACCUUUGAAAUCUUACAUGAUCUGA
This 521-nucleotide ribosomal RNA is filed under the name Eurycantha calcarata. RNAcentral describes it as "partial 16S ribosomal RNA". It matches the Rfam family "Bacterial large subunit ribosomal RNA", at positions 1810 to 2608 of the family's 2925-position model. The record is from RNAcentral. Lineage: Eukaryota; Metazoa; Arthropoda; Insecta; Phasmatodea; Phasmatidae.